AUCAGCUGCAGCGUGAAGAACCACGUCAGUCACGCACAGAACACCAUUAGACUCAAACCCUGUGCUGUGUGUUCAGUGUCUGUGGUGUUUGUGCUGGUCUGGUGUCUUCAGCUGAUGGUUCUGUUGGGUCUGUUAGGAGGUUUUCACAUCUACAUGAGACACACGUCAGGAAAGAAGCAGGAAGAUCAGAAAGUGAGGAUGAGAAGAUUUAGAGAAGGACCUGAACACACAGCAGAAGAUUCAUGAGAGCAGCAGCAGAUCUUCACAUCUGUGAGAAAUGACUUCAGAAUCUCAGCGAUUCUCACAUCAGUCCAGCUUUCAUCAGGCGACAGCAGGAGAUCUUACAGAAUAAAGCCAGAAGACAUUUUCUGCAGUUUUAGUUAAGAAUCUCUUCUUUGAUUAGAUGAUUUUCUGGACAUUUGUUUUUGCAUCAGUUUAAUGCUUAUUUUAUUCAUUUGUCUUUACGCUUUGAAUGAACCAGCAGUAUUUUACAUCAUUACAUGAAACUCCUUCUGUUCAUCCAGAUUGUGAAGUCAUCCUGUGUGUUUUUCACAUUUUCUGCUCUUGUUAUUUUAUUCAGUUGGUUUUUGUUGAUUUCUCUUCAUAUGCGGCUUCUGUUUAGAUGUUUUAUCUGUUCAAAACUCUUCGUCUUGAUCCAUGCCUCAGUUUUAGGGCGUCUGGUG
Long non-coding RNA from Sinocyclocheilus grahami, 683 nucleotides. RefSeq lists it as uncharacterized. The record is from RefSeq and is a predicted model, not a curated record. Lineage: Eukaryota; Metazoa; Chordata; Actinopteri; Cypriniformes; Cyprinidae. The transcript has 3 exons.